RNAcentral lists this ribosomal RNA (253 nucleotides) under uncultured bacterium. RNAcentral's name for it is "partial 16S ribosomal RNA". It matches the Rfam family "Bacterial small subunit ribosomal RNA", at positions 524 to 776 of the family's 1533-position model. RNAcentral also lists the same sequence under 2 other names. The record is from RNAcentral.
UACGUAGGCAGCGAGCGUUGUUCGGAAUUACUGGGCGUAAAGAGUGUGUAGGCGGUGCUCCCAGUCUGUUGUGAAAUCUCCCGGCUUAACUGGGAGGGUGCAGCGGAAACUAGAGUGCUAGAGGGUGGGAGAGGUAAGCGGAAUUCCUGGUGUAGCGGUGAAAUGCGUAGAUAUCAGGAGGAACACCUGUGGUGUAGACAGCUUACUGGACCACUUCUGACGCUGAGACACGAAAGCGUGGGUAGCAAACAGG